Molecule: long non-coding RNA, 1108 nt
Filed under: Parus major (Great Tit)
Lineage: Eukaryota; Metazoa; Chordata; Aves; Passeriformes; Paridae
Description: lncRNA (ENSPMJG00000016822.1)
Source: RNAcentral
CCGGAACCGCAGCUGCUGGCACGGCCGGGACACGGCCUGAGGGUGCGCUGCAGCCCGGCUUGGCUCCAGCGCUCCCUCCGCCAGUCACAGGGAGGGAUGUCCGAGCAACAGCUGGCCAGGUGUCAUUGCCAGGACAGGAUCCUUAUCUAGACUGGCUUGUGCUGCUUAAUACUGGAAAGAAAUCUUGACAGUCUGCGCUCGUGAGUGAAGAUUUAUAUACACCUCUCUGUAGCUUCAUGCACUUGAGUGCAGUGGGAUCCUAGACACCUGCCCCUACCAGCGUGAUUCAUUCACAUGCUCUUUGGAGUGGAAGGAUCUCCCAGCAAAGAAUGCAGAAAGCUGUUCCCACAGGUGCAGCAAAUAGGUAAAGGGAGCCCCAGCUGGCAGCAUGCACAUUGUGUGCAGCAUGAAAGGAACCCCAGAGCUGUGUGAAAUCCAUUAGCAGUGUCACCUGUCACUUUUGCCUGGCAAGCACUGAGCUCACCUGAACUGAAAGGGCUCCCACCUCUGGCUCCUGAACUGGUGUGGCACUGCUCAGGAAUGUUGCACAGUGGGAGGCCAGACUGAUUGUGUCACAAGAAGAGGAACUACCACAGCCAGCACAGCCAGCCUGGCUUUGCACACCAUUCAUGAGUGCAAGCACUUGGGGAAUGGUAAUUCCUCCACCUUCCUUCAAGUCUGCUGCUACAGCCUGGACUGAUUUAAAGGCUGGAUACUAAAAUGUCUAAGGAAUGAAUGGAGAGUCCCAUGAGGCAAAUACUGAGAAUGGUCUGGAGUACAAAUUUCCCUCAUUCCCUCCCUAAAACAGACUUGCCCUGGGCGCCAUGAGGGCCAGGGAGAAGUUAACUCUGCAGCUGGGGAGACAUCUGCAAUUUGGUGAGGAUAGGUUCUUUCCACAGAGGCUGUUAAUUCUGCAUGACCUAAUCUGGGUUUGUUGCUUCUCUACACUGUGAGUCACAGUGUGCACAGUCCUUUGGUCACUGUGGCAGGCUGCAGGGCUUCACAGUGGCCUUUUGCUCUUCCUAUGGAUGAUGACUGUCUUUGACUUUGCUGUCAUGUGCUGUUUGAUGCUUUCCAUUUAUAUCUAAUAAAAUCACCACAAUCUGCA